RNAcentral lists this long non-coding RNA (1136 nucleotides) under Anas platyrhynchos platyrhynchos (common mallard). RNAcentral's name for it is "lncRNA (ENSAPLG00000018135.1)". Lineage: Eukaryota; Metazoa; Chordata; Aves; Anseriformes; Anatidae. The record is from RNAcentral.
CCGGUGGCUGUGGGGUGCGCAAUGGGGCGGGAGGAAGGGGCUGACGGGGCUGGGUGUUUGUAGGAACAGGGAGCGAACGCUUGGACCCAAAAUGUGGGGUGCUUUGGGUGGUCUCUGUGCCAGGGUUGGGUACGGCGGAGGGGAGCGCAUCCUUUGGGUGGUGGGUGGGCAGUGUGGGAGAAGGGAUGUCCCUGUCCCUCCUGUCCCCUCGCCCCCUGCAAUGGGGUCUCCAGGGGUGAGGGCUGGCAGCCUGCAGAGCGGAGACACGCAGGGUUGGGGGAAAAAGGAGCUGGGAAAGGUGGGAAACGGCCCCCUUGGAGACCCAGCUUGGCGAGGGGGAGAAAAAAAAGCUUCCACGGGGCUUUCCCCUCCUCUUCCAGAGCAAGCUGGUCAAGUACUUCAGCCGGCAGCUCUCCUGCAAGAGGAAGGUGGCGUUGCAGGAGCGCAAUGCCAAGCUGGAAGGCUUCCCCCAGCUCCUGCACUGGUUCCGCAUCGUCGACAUCCGCAAGGAGGUGAUGGAGGAAAUAGCCCCUGGGCAGCUGAGCCUGGAGGAGCUGCUGGAGAUGACCGACGACCAGGUCUGUGAGACCGUGGAGAAAUUUGGGGCCAACAGCGAGGAGUGCGCCCGCCUCAACGCCUCCCUGUCCUGCCUGCGCAGCGUCCACAAGUCUGGUGAGUGGGCUCCGCACCCCAUGAUCAUGUCCUGGGGGCACCGCUCGGGUUUGUGAUCCUAAAUAGGGCCGGGAGCCCCCAUUUGUGCCCCCAAAUCUGGGCGCCAGCAGCGGGCAUCACCCGCACCCUCAUGGGGGCUGCUGGAGAGGGAGGCUGAGACCCCCCCAGGCUCCCCGCAGCGCCCCUGCUCCAAGCAGGGUUAUUUUAUUUCUAUUAUUUUUUUAAUUUUUGGAAGGAUUUGGGGAGGGUUUGAGGGCUGCCCCCCCCCCAACAGCAGCAGGCAGCCGGGGUGCGAGGCCGGCGGGUGCCCGGGCGGUGGCAGCAGAGCUCUGCGGGAGGCGCUGAGCAUCCUCGGGGCUGGCAGCCGGCUGCAGGCAGGGUGCGGGUGGGAUGUGUCUGUCCGUCCAUCCUUCUGUCCUGGGGGGGUUUGGAGCCCCCCAGGCCCCCCUCCGCAGCUGCUUCCA